GACGAACGCUGGCGGCGUGCUUAACACAUGCAAGUCGAACGGAAAGGCCCUGCUUUUGUGGGGUGCUCGAGUGCGAACGGGUGAGUAACACGUGAGUAACCUGCCCUUGACUUUGGGAUAACUUCAGGAAACUGGGGCUAAUACCGGAUAGGAGCUCCUGCUGCAUGGUGGGGGUUGGAAAGUUUCGGCGGUUGGGGAUGGACUCGCGGCUUAUCAGCUUGUUGGUGGGGUAGUGGCUUACCAAGGCUUUGACGGGUAGCCAGCCUGAGAGGGUGACCGGCCACAUUGGGACUGAGAUACGGCCCAGACUCCUACGGGAGGCAGCAGUGGGGAAUAUUGCACAAUGGGCGGAAGCCUGAUGCAGCAACGCCGCGUGCGGGAUGACGGCCUUCGGGUUGUAAACCGCUUUCGCCUGUGACGAAGCGUGAGUGACGGUAAUGGGUAAAGAAGCACCGGCUAACUACGUG
This 467-nucleotide ribosomal RNA is filed under the name uncultured bacterium. RNAcentral describes it as "partial 16S ribosomal RNA". It matches the Rfam family "Bacterial small subunit ribosomal RNA", at positions 28 to 507 of the family's 1533-position model. The record is from RNAcentral.